RNAcentral lists this ribosomal RNA (498 nucleotides) under uncultured Glomeromycotina. RNAcentral's name for it is "partial small subunit ribosomal RNA". It matches the Rfam family "Eukaryotic small subunit ribosomal RNA", at positions 591 to 1092 of the family's 1831-position model. Lineage: Eukaryota; Fungi; Glomeromycota. The record is from RNAcentral.
CCAAUAGCGUAUAUUAAAGUUGUUGCAGUUAAAAAGCUCGUAGUUGAAUUUCGGGGUUCUACCGUCGGUCGGGCUAACAAGUCUGUACUGGUGUGUAGAAUUUCUACCUUCUGGGGAACUAUCAUGUUAUUAAUUUAGCGUGGUGGGAAACCAGGACCUUUACCUUGAAAAAAUUAGAGUGUUCAAAGCAGGCUUACGUCUGAAUACAUUAGCAUGGAAUAAUAGAAUAGGACGGUGGUCCUGUUUUGUUGGUUUCUGAAUCACCGUAAUGAUUAAUAGUGAUAGUUGGGGGCAUUAGUAUUCAAUUGUCAGAUGUGAAAUUCUUGGAUCUAUUGAAGACUAACUUCUGCGAAAGCAUUUGCCAAGGAUGUUUUCAUUAAUCAAGAACGAAAGUUAGGGGAUCGAAGACGAUCAGAUACCGUCGUAGUCUUAACCAUAAACUAUGCCGACUAGGGAUCGGACGAUGUUAAAUUUUAUUGACUCGUUCGGCGCCUUACG